This 51-nucleotide ribosomal RNA is filed under the name Opisthorchis felineus. RNAcentral's name for it is "partial 28S ribosomal RNA". Lineage: Eukaryota; Metazoa; Platyhelminthes; Trematoda; Opisthorchiida; Opisthorchiidae. The record is from RNAcentral.
CAAUGCAAAUCAGUUUUGCACUUCGGUGCUUAACUUUCCUGACCUCGGAUC